RNAcentral lists this small nuclear RNA (19 nucleotides) under Arabidopsis thaliana (thale cress). Its description in RNAcentral is "snRNA_03110". The record is from RNAcentral. Lineage: Eukaryota; Viridiplantae; Streptophyta; Magnoliopsida; Brassicales; Brassicaceae.
UGGCGUAGAUAUCGUCACC